AAAAAAUAAUAAUAAUAAUAAUAAAAUAAUAAUAAAUAAAAAAAAAAGGCAGCAUUACUGUUUUUCCACAUGAAUCAGUUUCUUGGCCACAGUAAGUGUCCUGCAAUGUAUUAUCAGUUUUAUCAAAAGGAGACCUUAAACCUUUCAUUUAAAACCUGAAUGUUUAGUAUCAAGCCAACAAACUUAUAAUGCCAAAACCCAAGCAAGUCUGGGUUGGACUGACCUGAAGCAAAAUUCUGAGCUUCACAUUUCCCAGAGGGAAUGUUUUGUGUUUAUUAUUAUUUUUAUUAACUUAUUUUAGUAACAUUGAAAUUUAUUUAUGAAAAAAUGAACAGUACACUGACAAAAAUGGCUCAUGUGGUCUCAUGUACACCAUGUGUGAAGUGCCCAGGCACUAGAUUUAGACUACUAGACUGGUUAUUUCCCUCUGGACAUUACGUCAGCAAACAGCCCUGAGACAGUCCCCUUUGUGGCAGAAUGAUGCUGCAAUAUGUAAGUAAUGAAAGCAGUCAUUGUUAGGAAACCUGCAAGAAUAUAUAUGAGAAGACACAAGUUAUGACCUAUUUCCAGUAGGCUCUGAGCGAUGUACUAUUUCACGUCUGUCUUAUUUAAAAUGUUUCAUGUCAGUGCUGGCGUCAAUAAGAAAAAGAUACUUACAGAACUUUAACAUUUCUUCUUUCAAUUCUUCAUGAUCAACAACAACAGGAACAAAAUGUUCUUUUGGUCCUUAAUAUUUUGAGGGUGUGCAACUCUCAAUAAGAAAAUAGAUUGGAUAAUAGAAAAUUAAAAAUGAAGAAUAAGAGAGAGAAAGAGCUGGAAAGAAGUAUUUAUGUAAAAGAAGAUGACAGAGAAGACAUCAAUAGACAGGAGUGUUGGGAAAGCCAGACUGGAGUAACAAUUAGUGACAGUCAUAUUUGACUUGUUUUUGUUUGAAGUCUAUCUUUAUUACCUUCUUUAAAAUUUGGGCAUGGCAAAAAUACACACAGAUUAAAACAACAACAACAAAGUGAAAAAAAAAUGGCUACUGUCUGUCAGUAAAAGUAGAAAUUUUCUGCUUUUGAUUAAUGGUAGCUUUGGAAGAGUUAUGUUUUUAUUUUCCUUUUCUUCUUUUUUAAUGAGUUUAUGUCAGCUUGUAUAUGCCAGCAGUAUUUCAAAGAAACAAGGUUUUAUUUCCCCUUAGCCAAAAUAUGACUAAAUAGUUUAUGAGCCAAAAUAUUAUAAGCUUUCUCCUGAUCUUAUCUUUCCUACUUGCCCUCAUACCUUAGAUAAUCAAAAUAUUUUUUUUUAUUGUUAAGUAAGAAAUAAAUUAUAAAAAAAAAAAAAACA
Molecule: long non-coding RNA, 1326 nt
Filed under: Anas platyrhynchos platyrhynchos (common mallard)
Lineage: Eukaryota; Metazoa; Chordata; Aves; Anseriformes; Anatidae
Description: lncRNA (ENSAPLG00000029059.1)
Source: RNAcentral